This 234-nucleotide ribosomal RNA is filed under the name uncultured bacterium. RNAcentral describes it as "partial 16S ribosomal RNA". It matches the Rfam family "Bacterial small subunit ribosomal RNA", at positions 15 to 225 of the family's 1533-position model. The record is from RNAcentral.
GAUCAUGGCUCAGGAUGAACGCUGGCGGCGUGCCUAACACAUGCAAGUCGAACGAAGAUGCGUGUCAGACUCCCGUUCGGGGUGACGAUGCGUAGACUUAGUGGCGGACGGGUGAGUAAUGUAUGAGCAACCUGCCUUCAAGGAGGGGAAUAACAGUCGGAAACGACUGCUAAUACCGCAUAACAAAGCGUGAUCGCAUGAUCGUUGUUUUCAAAGGAGCAAUCCGCUUGAAAG